GUGGGGAAUCUUCCGCAAUGGACGAAAGUCUGACGGAGCAACGCCGCGUGAGUGAAGAAGGUUUUCGGAUCGUAAAGCUCUUUCGUUAGGGACGAACGUGCUCUUUGUGAAUAAUGAGGAGUAAUGACGGUACCUAAAUAAGAAGCCACGGCUAACUACGUGCCAGCAGCCGCGGUAAUACGUAGGUGGCAAGCGUUGUCCGGAAUUAUUGGGCGUAAAGCGCGCGCAGGCGGGAUAUCAAGUCUGUCUUAAAAGUGCGAGGCUCAACCUCGUGAGGGGACAGAAACUGGUAUUCUUGAGUGUCGGAGAGGAAAGUGGAAUUCCAAGUGUAGCGGUGAAAUGCGUAGAGAUUUGGAAGAACACCAGUGGCGAAGGCGACUUUCUGGACGAUGUCUGACGCUGAGGUUCGAAAGCGUGGGUAGCAAACAGGAUUAGAAACCCUUGUAGUCC
RNAcentral lists this ribosomal RNA (450 nucleotides) under uncultured bacterium. RNAcentral describes it as "partial 16S ribosomal RNA". It matches the Rfam family "Bacterial small subunit ribosomal RNA", at positions 354 to 796 of the family's 1533-position model. The record is from RNAcentral.